RNAcentral lists this long non-coding RNA (508 nucleotides) under Olea europaea subsp. europaea. The record is from RNAcentral. Lineage: Eukaryota; Viridiplantae; Streptophyta; Magnoliopsida; Lamiales; Oleaceae.
AGAGGAGGAAAAAUUCACUAUAGUAAAUUGAAUGAUGAUUACAAAGAUUAUUGGAUGAUCUUCAGAGAAGUAAUUACUCCUAAUAUAUCAAUACAAAUAAGAGUCUAACUUAUGGUGAAGUCCUAAUAUAACAGCCUGACAAAUAAUAGUGUUUGAGGUUGUUUAGGAGUGCAAAAUCUGUCAAAAUCCCAAAUAGAGUUUGCAUCAGAUAGCACUCCAUCCACUGCUUGAUCGCUUGGCCUUCGGUGGUGUUACUACAAUUUCCGCUUGAUUCCCACCUGUGCGGUUGGUGAGCAAUCUUCAUGCGAUAUGUUUUUCUCCUUAUCCGUCUUUGACUCCUUCAAGACUUAUUCAAGGCAACCUAUUAACUCCCAAUAAAACUCCCAAUAUAAUUCAGAUCACACUCGAACUCUAACAUUUCUUCUGUCAAUUAAUAGCUAUUAGUGAGAAGUAGAGAAUAAAUUAAAGUAAUGAAAUCAGGGACGCAUAAAGGGGGAAUGGGUUCGGC